Molecule: ribosomal RNA, 498 nt
Filed under: Pezizales sp. MU-157
Lineage: Eukaryota; Fungi; Ascomycota; Pezizomycetes; Pezizales
Description: eukaryotic LSU rRNA
Rfam family: Eukaryotic large subunit ribosomal RNA
Source: RNAcentral
AAGCGGGAAAAGCUCAAAUUUGAAAUCGGCGUCCUUUGCGGAUCGAGUUGUAAUUUGGAGGGAUAACUUCGGUACAGCUACAUCGUAAGUUCCUUGGAACAGGACGUCAUAGAGGGUGAGAAUCCCGUGUCUUGGUGUUUGGCUGUGCCAUGUGAAGUGUCUCCGACGAGUCGAGUUGUUUGGGAAUGCAGCUCAUAAUGGGUGGUAAUUUCAUCUAAAGCUAAAUAUUGGCGAGAGACCGAUAGCGCACAAGUAGAGUGAUCGAAAGAUGAAAAGCACUUUGAAAAGAGAGUUAAAAAGUACGUGAAAUUGUUGAAAGGGAAGCGCUUGCGACCAGACUCGAUCUUUGGUGAUCAGCCGGGCUUCGGUCCGGUGCCCUUGCCAUUGAUUGGGCCAGCAUCGGUUCCGACGGCGGGAUAAAAGGAGGAGGAAUGUGGCUCCCUUCGGGGAGUGUUAUAGCCUUCUUCACUAUAUGCCGCCAGUAAGGACCGAGGACCG